UGCUUAACAAAAAUGAUUAUGUUAAUUCAAAGGCAAAAAGUGAGAAAUAGUGCCAUCCUUAGCCACGUCAUUCCCACGCUCUAACGCUGUUUUCCUAAACAGGAUGUGAUUCCACUGAGGCGUGUUUUACAGAAGUGAAAACCGAUUAUUUUUUCAUCGGACAAGAAGAGAGUGGAAAGACCUGGUAGAACGUCUAAUACUGAUAAUUAAUAACACUAGAAACUAAAUCUGUAACUUUAAUAUGGAAGACUUGAAAGCAGGAUUUAAGAAAAUUUUCUCACUACUGGACGGGAAAACCAGUUAUUUUGUGACCAUUAUUGGCCUGUUUGUUUACCAUGUUGUGUUUGAUAAGCAGUUGACUUGCUUGACUAAACCUGGUGUUAACCCAAAGGAUUUGCCGACCCAAUAUGAGUGUAAUGUCUACAUUGCAGUGCCACCUUUUAUAUUGUUUUUCCUGAUUCUCUGGCUGGAUGGAGAGUUUCAACAAGUUUGGACAAUUGUCUACAGAUGUGGAACUGAUUUCUGGCAAAGACUUUUGUCAGCCCUCUUCAAGGCAACUGCAAUCGGGUUACUAUGGGUUUUAUCAGUGUUGUUGGAUGGAGACUGGUAUGCGUGUCAAAACAGAGAAGAACUCCUUGGGUUAAACACAAACGGCACUUACACAGAUCAACUUAAACGCAAGUCAGUGGUUAUUGGCUUAGAGGCGACCCUGGGCCUGGUGUUUUUAGUUGCUAUUUUUAAUGCAGUACCUUACUGGUGUUACCCCUGUCGCUCUCUGUGAGAGAACAGAAGUGAGCAGGACUGAAGAUAAAAAGUGCUGCUCGAAUUGUUGCGACACUUUAUGCAGGUCAUAUCACUGGGUACUAUUUGAGGAGAAUGUUCUGAUUGAGAUGGAGAAUAUUAUCCAAACAGAUGUAAAGACAACAGCUAGGGAUUAUGUAGUUC
Esox lucius (northern pike) is the source of this 945-nucleotide long non-coding RNA. RefSeq lists it as uncharacterized. The transcript has 2 exons. The record is from RefSeq and is a predicted model, not a curated record. Lineage: Eukaryota; Metazoa; Chordata; Actinopteri; Esociformes; Esocidae.